Molecule: ribosomal RNA, 440 nt
Filed under: uncultured bacterium
Lineage: Bacteria
Description: bacterial SSU rRNA
Rfam family: Bacterial small subunit ribosomal RNA
Source: RNAcentral
CCUACGGGAGGCAGCAGUGGGGAAUAUUGCACAAUGGGGAAAACCCUGAUGCAGCAACGCCGCGUGAGCGAUGAAGGCCUUCGGGUCGGAAUGCUCUGUCCUAAGGGAAGAAUACUGACGGUACCUGAGGAGGAAGCCCCGGCUAACUACGUGCCAGCAGCCGCGGUAAUACGUAGGGGGCUAGAGUUAUCCGGAAUUACUGGGCGUAAAGGGUGCGUAGGCGGCCCUUCAAGUCAUAGGUGAAAGGCUACGACUCAACCGUAGUAAGCCUUUGAAACUGUAGGGCUUGAGUGCAGGAGAGGAGAGUGGAAUUCCCAGUGUAGCGGUGAAAUGCGUAGAAAUUGGGAUGGACACCAGUUGCGAAGGCGGCUCUCUGGACCGUAUCUGACGCUGAGGCACGAAAGCGUGGGGUGCGAACAGGAUUAGAUACCCUUGUAGUC